AUGACAAAACGUCAAGCUGUGGAGGCACUUGAUAGAUCCUUGCAAGAUAUUACUGGUGUUAUAUCUCCAUUUGGAGGAAAGGUCAUAGUGUUAGGAGGAGAUUUCAGACAAGUUCUCCCUGUAGUGAGGCGAGGCACAAGAGCACAAAUUACAGAUGCUACACUAAAGAAAUCGUAUCUUUGGCGGUGUAUAAAACAAAUAAAACUAUGGCGUAAUAUGAGAGCACAAUCUGAUCCAUGGUUCUCAGAUUUUCUGUUAAGAAUUGGUGAUGGUACAGAAGAAUCAAUCGGCCAAGAUUAUGUGCGCCUACCAGAUGAAAGUGUUGUACCAUACAUAGAUCCAAAACACUCUGUCAGUAAGUUAAUUAAUGUUAUCUUUCCUUCACUAGGCCAGAAUGGAAUAUCACCAUCUUAUAUUAGUACUCGCGCCAUUCUCUCCACCAAGAAUGAAUAUGUUGAUGAACUAAACGAGAAGCUUAUUGAUCGGUUUCCUGGGGAAGAACAAAUCUACUAUAGUUUUCAUUCAGCAGUGGAUGAUCCACAUAACUACUACCCACCUGAAUUUCUAAACUCACUCACACCUAAUGGCCUGCCUCCACAUGUCCUUCGACUGAAGAUUAAUUGUCCUGUGAUUUUACUUCAGAAUCUAGAUCGUUUUAACGGAUUGUGCAAUGGAACAAGACUUAUUAUCAGAGCAUUUCAAGAGAACGCUAUUGAUGCAGAAAUAAUUGGCGGGCAACAUGCUGGGAAAAGAGUAUUCCUUCCAUGA
This 768-nucleotide ribosomal RNA is filed under the name Triticum aestivum (bread wheat). Its description in RNAcentral is "partial small subunit ribosomal RNA". The record is from RNAcentral. Lineage: Eukaryota; Viridiplantae; Streptophyta; Magnoliopsida; Poales; Poaceae.